UACGGGGGGGGCAAGCGUUGUUCGGAAUUACUGGGCGUAAAGGGCUCGUAGGCGGCCAACUAAGUCAGACGUGAAAUCCCUCGGCUUAACCGGGGAACUGCGUCUGAUACUGGAUGGCUUGAAUCCGGGAGAGGGAUGCGGAAUUCCAGGUGUAGCGGUGAAAUGCGUAGAUAUCUGGAGGAACACCGGUGGCGAAGGCGGCAUCCUGGACCGGUAUUGACGCUGAUGCGCGAAAGCCAGGGGAGCAAACGGG
Molecule: ribosomal RNA, 253 nt
Filed under: uncultured bacterium
Lineage: Bacteria
Description: partial 16S ribosomal RNA
Rfam family: Bacterial small subunit ribosomal RNA
Source: RNAcentral